CGUAGGUGGCAAGCGUUGUCCGGAGUUACUGGGUGUAAAGGGCGUGUAGGCGGGAAGAUAAGUCAGAUGUGAAAUUCCAUGGCUCAACUGUGGCGCUGCAUCUGAAACUAUUUUUCUUGAGUGAUGGAGAGGAAAGCGGAAUUCCUAGUGUAGCGGUGAAAUGCGUAGAUAUUAGGAGGAACACCAGUGGCGAAGGCGGCUUUCUGGACAUUAACUGACGCUGAGGCGCGAAAGCGUGGGGAGCAAACAGGAUUAGAUACCCUGGUAGUCCACGCUGUAAACGAUGGAUACUAGGUGUAGGAGGUAUCGACCUCUUCUGUGCCGGAGUUAACACAAUAAGUAUCCCACCUGGGGAGUACGGCCGCAAGGUUG
Molecule: ribosomal RNA, 372 nt
Filed under: uncultured organism
Description: bacterial SSU rRNA
Rfam family: Bacterial small subunit ribosomal RNA
Source: RNAcentral